This 802-nucleotide ribosomal RNA is filed under the name uncultured Rhizophagus. RNAcentral's name for it is "SSU rRNA". It matches the Rfam family "Eukaryotic small subunit ribosomal RNA", at positions 312 to 1115 of the family's 1831-position model. The record is from RNAcentral. Lineage: Eukaryota; Fungi; Glomeromycota; Glomeromycetes; Glomerales; Glomeraceae.
UUAUCAACUUUCGAUGGUAGGAUAGAGGCCUACCAUGGUGGUAACGGGUAACGGGGUGUUAGGGCACGACACCGGAGAGGGAGCCUGAGAAACGGCUACCACAUCCGAGGAUGGCAGCAGGCGCGCAAAUUACCCAAUCCCGACACGGGGAGGUAGUGACAAUAAAUAACAAUACGGGGUUCUUUCGGAUCUCGUAAUUGGAAUGAGUACAAUUUAAAUCUCUUAACGAGGAACAAUUGGAGGGCAAGUCUGGUGCCAGCAGCCGCGGUAAUUCCAGCUCCAAUAGCGUAUAUUAAAGUUGUUGCAGUUAAAAAGCUCGUAGUUGAAUUUCGGGAUCAGAUUGUCGGUCGUGCCUCGGUACGCACUGGCAUUAUUGGUUCCUACCUUCUGAAGAACCGCGAUGUCAUUAAUUUGGUGUCGUGGGGAAUCAGGACUGUUACUUUGAAAAAAUUAGAGUGUUUAAAGCAGGCGCACGCUUGAAUACAUUAGCAUGGAAUAAUGAAAUAGGACGUUUGAUUCUAUUUUGUUGGUUUCUAGGAUCGACGUAAUGAUUAAUAGGGAUAGUUGGGGGCAUUAGUAUUCAAUUGUCAGAGGUGAAAUUCUUGGAUUUAUUGAAGACUAACUACUGCGAAAGCAUUUGCCAAGGAUGUUUUCAUUAAUCAAGAACGAAAGUUAGGGGAUCGAAGACGAUCAGAUACCGUCGUGGUCUUAACCAUAAACUAUGCCGACUAGGGAUCGGAUGAUGUUGAUUUUAUAAUGACUCAUUCGGCGCCUUACGGGAAACCCAAAGUGUUUGGGUUCA